RNAcentral lists this ribosomal RNA (480 nucleotides) under Fulvia boholensis. RNAcentral describes it as "partial 16S ribosomal RNA". It matches the Rfam family "Bacterial large subunit ribosomal RNA", at positions 1808 to 2608 of the family's 2925-position model. The record is from RNAcentral. Lineage: Eukaryota; Metazoa; Mollusca; Bivalvia; Cardiida; Cardiidae.
CAAAAACAUCUCCCCUUGUGAGUUUUAAUAGGGGGUAGGCCCUGCCCAGUGGAGAAUUUCUAAACGGAAGGGUUAACUUUUAAAGUAGCGUAAUAAUUUGUCCCUUAAUUAGGGUCUGAAUGAAUGGGUUGACGUGGGAUGACUGUCUUAAAAGAAUUAGUUGAAAUUUUCUUUUCAGUGAAAAGCCUGAGAUAGGAUUAAAAGACGAGAAGACCCCGUCGAGCUUAAGAGGAAUGGGAAUUUUUUCUUUUUUUCCAGGUUUGUUGGGGUAACAAUGGAGAAAUUUAACCUCCAGUUUUUUAUAGAUCCACCUAUUGGUGAUAAAAAGAAAAAGCUACCGCGGGGAUAACAGCGCAAGACGGCCAGAGAGUUCUUAUCUAAGGCCGUAAGUGCGACCUCGAUGUUGGAUUAAGGUGAGCUUAAGGGUGCAGCAGCUCUUAAAGCGGGACUGUUCGUCCUUUAAUUCCUUACAUGAUCUGA